GAUGAACGCUGGCGGCGUGCCUAAUACAUGCAAGUCGAACGAAACUUCUUUAUCACCGAGUGCUUGCACUCACCGAUAAAGAGUUGAGUGGCGAACGGGUGAGUAACACGUGGGCAACCUGCCCAAAAGAGGGGGAUAACACUUGGAAACAGGUGCUAAUACCGCAUAACCAUAGUUACCGCAUGGUAACUAUGUAAAACGUGGCUAUACUACCGCUUUUGGAUGGGCCCGCGGCGCAUUAGCUAGUUGGUAGGGUAAAGGCUUACCAAGGCAAUGAUGCGUAGCCGAAUUGAGAGGUUGAUCGGCCACAUUGGGACUGAGACACGGCCCAAACUCCUACGGGAGGCAGCAGUAGGGAAUCUUCCACAAUGGGCGAAAGCCUGAUGGAGCAACGCCGCGUGGGUGAAGAAGGUCUUCGGAUCGUAAAACCCUGUUGUUAGAGAAGAAAGUGCGUGAGAGUAACUGUUCACGUUUCGACGGUAUCUAACCAGAAAGCCACGGCUAACUACGUG
Molecule: ribosomal RNA, 512 nt
Filed under: uncultured bacterium
Lineage: Bacteria
Description: partial 16S ribosomal RNA
Rfam family: Bacterial small subunit ribosomal RNA
Source: RNAcentral